This 253-nucleotide ribosomal RNA is filed under the name Roseburia inulinivorans DSM 16841. RNAcentral describes it as "partial 16S ribosomal RNA". It matches the Rfam family "Bacterial small subunit ribosomal RNA", at positions 524 to 776 of the family's 1533-position model. Lineage: Bacteria; Bacillati; Bacillota; Clostridia; Lachnospirales; Lachnospiraceae. The record is from RNAcentral.
UACGUAUGGUGCAAGCGUUAUCCGGAUUUACUGGGUGUAAAGGGAGCGCAGGCGGAAGGCUAAGUCUGAUGUGAAAGCCCGGGGCUCAACCCCGGUACUGCAUUGGAAACUGGUCAUCUAGAGUGUCGGAGGGGUAAGUGGAAUUCCUAGUGUAGCGGUGAAAUGCGUAGAUAUUAGGAGGAACACCAGUGGCGAAGGCGGCUUACUGGACGAUAACUAACGCUGAGGCUCGAAAGCGUGGGGAGCAAACAGG